AUUCCAUGAUGUGGACACUUUCUAAUAAAAUCCUUGAAUCUCUCCCAUGCAUCAUACAAAUAUUCACCCUCCAACUGGUAGAAAUUAUUGAUCUCUCCUUUCAACUU
This is a small nucleolar RNA of Humulus lupulus (European hop), 107 nucleotides long. The record is from RefSeq and is a predicted model, not a curated record. Lineage: Eukaryota; Viridiplantae; Streptophyta; Magnoliopsida; Rosales; Cannabaceae.